This 468-nucleotide ribosomal RNA is filed under the name uncultured bacterium. RNAcentral describes it as "SSU rRNA". It matches the Rfam family "Bacterial small subunit ribosomal RNA", at positions 26 to 518 of the family's 1533-position model. The record is from RNAcentral.
AGGACGAACGCUGGCGGCGUGCUUAACACAUGCAAGUCGAGCGGAAAGGCCCUUCGGGGUACUCGAGCGGCGAACGGGUGAGUAACACGUGAGCAACCUGCCCCUGGCUCUGGGAUAGCCUCCGGAAACGGGGAUUAAUACCGGACAUUCACUGCCUGCCGCAUGGUGGGUGGUGGAAAGUUUUUCGGCCAGGGAGGGGCUCGCGGUCUAUCAGCUUGUUGGCGGGGUAACGGCCCACCAAGGCGACGACGGAUAGCCGGCCUGAGAGGGCGAUCGGCCACACUGGGACUGAGACACGGCCCAGACUCCUACGGGAGGCAGCAGUGGGGAAUAUUGCACAAUGGGCGCAAGCCUGAUGCAGCGACGCCGCGUGGGGAUGAAGGCCUUCGGGUUGUAAACCCUUUCACCAGGAGCGAAUUCAGACGGUACCUGGGAAGAAGCGCCGGCUAACUACGUGCCAGCAGCCGC